GGGAGCUUGCUCCCGGAUUCAGCGGCGGACGGGUGAGUAAUGCCUAGGAAUCUGCCUGGUAGUGGGGGACAACGUUUCGAAAGGAACGCUAAUACCGCAUACGUCCUACGGGAGAAAGCAGGGGACCUUCGGGCCUUGCGCUAUCAGAUGAGCCUAGGUCGGAUUAGCUAGUUGGUGAGGUAAUGGCUCACCAAGGCGACGAUCCGUAACUGGUCUGAGAGGAUGAUCAGUCACACUGGAACUGAGACACGGUCCAGACUCCUACGGGAGGCAGCAGUGGGGAAUAUUGGACAAUGGGCGAAAGCCUGAUCCAGCCAUGCCGCGUGUGUGAAGAAGGUCUUCGGAUUGUAAAGCACUUUAAGUUGGGAGGAAGGGUUGUAGAUUAAUACUCUGCAAUUUUGACGUUACCGACAGAAUAAGCACCGGCUAACUCUGUGCCAGCAGCCGCGGUGAUACAGAGGGUGCAAGCGUUAAUCGGAAUUACUGGGCGUAAAGCGCGCGUAGGUGGUUCGUUAAGUUGGAUGUGAAAUCCCCGGGCUCAACCUGGGAACUGCAUCCAAAACUGGCGAGCUAGAGUAUGGUAGAGGGUGGUGGAAUUUCCUGUGUGGCGGUGAAAUGCGUAGAUAUAGGAAGGAACACCAGUGGCGA
Molecule: ribosomal RNA, 648 nt
Filed under: Pseudomonas fluorescens
Lineage: Bacteria; Pseudomonadati; Pseudomonadota; Gammaproteobacteria; Pseudomonadales; Pseudomonadaceae
Description: bacterial SSU rRNA
Rfam family: Bacterial small subunit ribosomal RNA
Source: RNAcentral